This 483-nucleotide ribosomal RNA is filed under the name uncultured bacterium. Its description in RNAcentral is "SSU rRNA". It matches the Rfam family "Bacterial small subunit ribosomal RNA", at positions 26 to 523 of the family's 1533-position model. The record is from RNAcentral.
AGGACGAACGCUGGCGGCGUGCUUAACACAUGCAAGUCGAGCGAGGCCCUUCCUUCGGGAGGGUGCCCUAGCGGCGAACGGGUGAGUAACACGUGGGCAACCUGCCUCUAGCACUGGGAUAACUCCGGGAAAACCGGGGCUAAUACCGGAUAUGACCUCCGAGGGCAUCCUUGGUGGUGUAAAGGACUCUGGCUAGAGAUGGGCCCGCGGCCUAUCAGCUUGUUGGUGGGGUAACGGCCUACCAAGGCGACGACGGGUAGCCGGCCUGAGAGGGCGACCGGCCACACUGGGACUGAGACACGGCCCAGACUCCUACGGGAGGCAGCAGUGGGGAAUAUUGCACAAUGGGCGAAAGCCUGAUGCAGCGACGCCGCGUGAGGGAUGAAGGCCUUCGGUUGUAAACCUCUUUCAGCAGGGACGAAGCGAAAGUGACGGUACCUGCAGAAGAAGCACCGGCCAACUACGCGCCAGCAGCCGCGGUAA